Molecule: long non-coding RNA, 918 nt
Filed under: Marmota monax (woodchuck)
Lineage: Eukaryota; Metazoa; Chordata; Mammalia; Rodentia; Sciuridae
Source: RNAcentral
UAGCUACGGCUCUAGAAAGGAGAAGGAGGUGCUAACUGACAACCGACGCUCUGGCAACCGCCGUAGAACUCUGUGGUGGCGUUGGCGUCCGCGAGCUCUGGACUCGCUUGCCAUUCCUGUGAGGGCAGUUGGGCCCUUUCCGGCAGAGAAUUCUUCCUGCUUGGGUGGUGAAGAACUUGUGGGGGGCUGCCUAGACUCAGUUGCCUUCAUGGGGCACCUAAGCGGUUUUGUUUUUUUCCCUCCCCCACCAACAGGAGGCUAGCCCAUAAUGGGCAUUAUGAUUAAGAGAAGAAAACAUGAUUUUUGUACCAAUUGAAAAUGCUGUACUUACGGGUCCCGAGUGUGGUGCUAAAAUUGUUACAAGACUACUUAAAAUGUCCCCCGAUUCUGAAAAAGAUUGCUUGAGAAAUUUUCUGUCAGCCAUGAAGCAUUUACUCCUUCUGAAAGUUUAACAUAAGCUAUAUCUGUCCCAUUCCUAUUGGAUAGUUUUUAUCGUGUUUUCAAACAUCCGACUACUUAAGGAUUUUUUUUUUUUUAAGUAUGGCCUGGUUAUGGAAAUCUGUAUAUGCAAGGUAGUUUUCCACAGAUUUGGGACUGCAUUUGUUACUUAAUAUGUAACCCCCACUCUUAGUACACACUGUCUUUUGAUCAAAGUGUUUGUGUAAUAAUUGACACAGACAGUAAACUAGGUCUCUCUGUUCCUAUUUCACUUACAUCCUGUUCUCACCCCACCUUUAACUAAUAUAAUUAAUAAAAGCUGAACCCGAUGAGGCUAGAAAUGUUGUUGGAGUUGUGAUAUUAUGUUGAAAUAUCCAAAUUUGAAAUUUCACCUAAAUUUAGGGUGUUAUUAGGAAUUUGAUUUCCUCACUUAUAAUUCAGGCAUUGACCACAGCGGGUCUAGAAUUCCAUUAAAUUGAC